Molecule: long non-coding RNA, 3461 nt
Organism: Ailuropoda melanoleuca (giant panda)
Lineage: Eukaryota; Metazoa; Chordata; Mammalia; Carnivora; Ursidae
Exons: 3
Source: RefSeq, a predicted model, not a curated record
CGGCCACAGUGCUCAGCGCCGAGGGCAAACAAAAGCGCCGGGGAUCAUCGCCUAGAACCCCCGGGCUCCGAAAUCCCCCACCCGGGGCUGCUGCUGGCUUUCCCCCCGGCUGCGACCAAGGAGUGGAGCAGAUGCAUGGCUGCAGUGGGGAACUGUCAUUCUAUUUGAAGCGGAGACGGAGAGCGAUUUUCACAGAGCUGGAGAGUUUCUUCUGUCGCCUGCAUUGAGGAAUUGCCAAGGCUUGAAAAUCUCUGUGCGCCAAGUCAAACUGGAUGUUCUUGAUUUGCAAUGUGGAUGUUCUAGCACCCGAACUGACAAGUGCUCCACACUGAAUUUGCCUAGCUGCCGAGUUCUUUAGUUUUUGUUUUAGGGGUGGGGGAGAUAUAGGAUGAUCAUUGGCUCUUGUGUCUGAAGUGUAUGUGAGCAAAAGGUACACUUUUAAUUGGCCACCAUCUCUUCCUUUUAAACUUUGCCAUGUCACCAUCACCACCACAACCAUCUCACACACACACACACACACACACACACACACACACUGCACCCUCACAAAUCCCUGUGAUUCUGGAACCCAUUGCUCUGGAGAGCAUGUGACACAGGAUUUGAUGUAAGUGCUGCAAGAGGAAUGAUCCCUCCUCUUCUGAGAUGAUGAGCAGUAAUGACCAUGUAAGCCAACUUUCCCACCAUGUAGGAGUCCAAAGAAUGAAAGCGACGGAGAGGAAAGCAGAGCUCAGGUUUGAGUGAGAGGAAGAGGUUCCUGAGUACUUGACUCCAACAUGCCUGAGGCUGCACUACCCUUGGCCUUCUCAGAUAUCGGAACCAACGAGUUAAUUUUUCCCUACCUCAUUUGAUUUGGGUUUCUGUAACUUGUAAUCAACGAUGCUCUUGUGGGGUGUGGUGAGUUGGACAGGGAGGAACCCAUGGGAGGGAAUGGACUAGAGAAUUGAGAAGAUGAAGAACGGAGCUGUCUUCUCUAUGAUGAGCAUCUCUUACUUCUCUGGUGCUUCUCAAUACCAGUUCCCUUUCACAAUGUCCUGCUUGCUCCAUCCCCAUAAUGGAGGACACUCCCUGGUGUUCUGGCUGGCUUCAGUGCUCUGGGUCAGGGAUUGCAGGAGCAAAAAGCCAGGCUUUCCCCUAGACUUCUAGGACCCAGGAACUUGGGAGAUGGCCAUGCCCUUGGUCUUUCUAUGCACAGAAGUUGAGGGGAAUCAUAUUCUAGGACAGUAGUUGUCAAUAUAAAGUCACUGAUCUCUCAGAAAUUCUGGUAAAAUCUAUGGAUCAGAGUUCACAAACCACCUGCCUAUGGGCCAUAUUUGAUCCUUCAGGCUGUUAUGGUUGGUGUGCCAAGAUUCUUUUUUUAAAAAUAUGGAUCAAAUUAAAAUUCUGGAGAUUUCACCCCCCAAGGGAUCUAGAUUUCUGCUUUCUCUUAACCAACCCUAGACUCUGUCAACACUGGAUCCUGUUCCCUCACAGCAGUGAUCAGCUGAAGCAGGGUAGUGGCUGCCCCUUUAGAAGGCACAUUCACCACAGUCGUCCUGUUCACCGCAGUCCUCACCAUCCCCUGUGGUCUUCCCAACACUGAACAUUACUUGCCAUUUGUCAUCACCCUUGUAUUGUUGUUUCUCUUGUGGUGAAGAAGUAUUUCUCUGGACCCAAGUCUCUACCAGAAGCAGGGAAAUAAAAGAUCCAAAAGACUGGAUAUUUCAGGACAAAUCCGAAAGACCUUAUUUCUCUGUGAAAGUGAAACAUACUCUUCUGUGUAUUUAAGCAAAGGGUGGCCAGGUUCUCCUACCUGACCUAUUUCAUUCUCCUAUAUCCCUACAUGGCCCAGGCAUUUGUGUACAGGCUGCAUCUAAGACUUUCUCUGCAGAAAAAUGUUCUGGAAGCCCAGAUUCGGGGGAUUAAUUGACAAUCUGAAGGCCGACUAUGAAUCCCGAGGGUCCUCUUGACCUCAGGUGAGAACCCUGGCCUAAGGGUGAUAGCCUCCGUGGAAGUACUGCUCCGGAAAGAAAAGUCUGCCCUCCCCGUUGUACGGGGCUCUCUUGACUGCGACUGAUCCAGGUGGUCAGAAGAUCAUCAAUCGUAAGACUUUGCCGCUAGAAAGGACAUCAUUUCACUAGUGCAGAAUAAUUUCUUUGUCUCCUUUCUUCUCCCUCACGAUGUUCUAAUCCUCUGAACUCCUUGUUUCUCAAACACACCGAGCUUCACUCAGGGACUUUGUACUUGUUCUCCCUGAAAUGUGCUUUCCCCGAUAUUCUCAUGGAAUCACUCCCUCACUUUGUUCAGGUCUUUGCUCAGAGAGGCUUCCUCUUUCUUAUCAGUGACCCUUUCUUUCUCCUGCUUUAUUUUUCAUCUCAGCACUUACUACUACCUGAUAUUACAAUGGUUUUUAUUUGUCAUUUGUUUCAUGUCUCUCUCCCCUUGGAAUAUAAGCAGGGACUUUGUCUAUAUAAUCACGACCGCGUUCCCAGUACCUAAAGAAGCUCCUGGCCCCUAGUAGAUACCCAGUGUAAAGUUACUGAAUGAAUGAAUGAAUGAAUUAAAAGCAUCUACAAGUAAGGAAACUGAAACGCUUUUACUGUCUUCUUUCUGGCCCGGGUGCCUGAAUUCUCAUCUUCCCCAACUAGACAUGCUUCUCACCCUAAUCUGUGGUUUAGCCUUCGGACUCUGGUCUGCUACCAAGAGGAGCUUCUCCUUGAUCUCCGGGAGCUCGACCUCACAACUAUGGUGUUUAGGAGACAGCAUGUAAGGGACUCACCCACUUAUGAAACAUUCAUGAGGACUUAAAUGUUCCGGGCCUUGCAGACAAAUAUAAUUCAGCCCACUCUUAUGGGGGUCUGGGUUUAGUGAGAAAGAUGCCACCGACAAUUCAUUCUAACAAAGGGUUAAAAGUCAUGGAGAAAUGCACAAACUGGUUUUGCAAACAGCUGGGAAGCAUCACUCCAAACCACCUUGGGAAGUCCAGAAAUGCUUCACAGGAGUGGGAAUCUUGCUCAAGCACCUUAACUUCUCUGGAUUCUUGUUUUCACAUGAAAAAUUUGGAUUCGAUGGGCAGUUAAGUUUCCUUCUCAUUCAUAUCACCCUCCAAGCCCUGUUCCACGAUCUUUUGCAAUUGAUGGUGUUAUUAAACCUAGGCCUGGGUGGCUUAGGUAUGUUUGAUUUUCCAGAGAAGAUCGCAAAGGUCAAGGCCUGGAAUGAUGAUGUGGUAAGCGGAGCAGUCAGAAGAAAUACCUGUUAGUAAAUAACAAACACCGCUCCUGGCUUAGUCAUGGAAUUCUGAGAAGCACCAGCACCCAGUGAACCAAUCUGGAGAUUGGCAGUCAUGGAUGAGACUAACUUUAACCUAAGGCAUGUGGCACAGCUACAAAAUGCGACUCUGAAUAACACAAACAAUCACCACCUCCGUGAGUCACCAGACAACCUCCAUAUACGUUCCACACUGAAAGGCCCACGGAUCACACAUA